Molecule: ribosomal RNA, 253 nt
Filed under: uncultured bacterium
Lineage: Bacteria
Description: partial 16S ribosomal RNA
Rfam family: Bacterial small subunit ribosomal RNA
Source: RNAcentral
UACGAAGGGGGCGAGCGUUGUUCGGAAUUACUGGGCGUAAAGGGCGCGCAGGCGGCCUUAGAAGUCAGAUGUGAAAGCCCCGGGCUCAACCUGGGAAUGGCAUUUGAUACUCUGAGGCUGGAGUACGGGAGAGGAGAGUGGAAUUCCCAGUGUAGAGGUGAAAUUCGUAGAUAUUCGGCGGAACACCAGUGGCGAAGGCGACUCACUGGCCCGAUACUGACGCUGAGGCGCGAAAGCGUGGGGAGCAAACAGG